This 253-nucleotide ribosomal RNA is filed under the name uncultured bacterium. RNAcentral describes it as "partial 16S ribosomal RNA". It matches the Rfam family "Bacterial small subunit ribosomal RNA", at positions 524 to 776 of the family's 1533-position model. The record is from RNAcentral.
UACGUAGGGUGCAAGCGUUAUCCGGAUUUAUUGGGCGUAAAGGGCUCGUAGGCGGUUCGUUGCGUCCGGUGUGAAAGUCCAUCGCUUAACGGUGGAUCCGCGCCGGGUACGGGCGGGCUUGAGUGCGGUAGGGGAGACUGGAAUUCCCGGUGUAACGGUGGAAUGUGUAGAUAUCGGGAAGAACACCAAUGGCGAAGGCAGGUCUCUGGGCCGUUACUGACGCUGAGGAGCGAAAGCGUGGGGAGCGAACAGG